RNAcentral lists this ribosomal RNA (775 nucleotides) under uncultured Neocallimastigales. RNAcentral's name for it is "partial large subunit ribosomal RNA". It matches the Rfam family "Eukaryotic large subunit ribosomal RNA", at positions 26 to 628 of the family's 3401-position model. Lineage: Eukaryota; Fungi; Neocallimastigomycota; Neocallimastigomycetes; Neocallimastigales. The record is from RNAcentral.
CGCAUCUGUGCAUGCAGCAUAUCAAUAAGCGGAGGAAAAGAAACUAACAAGGAUUCCCCUAGUAACGGCGAGUGAAGCGGGAAGAGCUCAAAUUUGAAAUCUUAAAGGGUUUCCCUUUACGAAUUGUAGUUUAAAGAAGUGUUUUCUGUUGAGGUUUUUGGUAAAAGUCCUUUGGAAUAGGACAUCAUAGAGGGUGAGAAUCCCGUAUUUGACCUUUACUUUCAACUUUGUGAUACACUUUCAAAGAGUCGGAUUGUUUGGGAAUGCAGUCCAAAAUGGGUGGUAAAUUUCAUCUAAAGCUAAAUAUUGGCGAGAGACCGAUAGCGAACAAGUACCGUGAGGGAAAGAUGAAAAGGACUUUGAAAAGAGAGUUAAACAGUACGCGAAAUUGUCAAAAGGGAAGCGUUUGACACCAGUGUUGUUUUUCUGAAAAUCAAUUAAAGAACUGUUUAUGCUAAGUUGUUUAGACUUUAUCAGCUAACUGUUUAGUUUUGAGCUUUUCUUUAAUGCACUUUUCAGUUAACAAGUCAACAUCAAUUUCUUUUGCUGUAAAAAAGCUUGAGGAAGGUGGCUUGAGAUUCGUCUUAAGUGUUUAUAGCCUCUUGCCUAUGCAGUCGGAGAGAUUGAGGUCUGCAGCGUAGAUCCUUCGGGGCUAAAUGCAUUUGUGCUAAGUUAUAGCAUUUUAUAGACAACUUGUUGACUAUGAUUUGUCUUGUAGCUUACUCGCUUAUGUUAUUUUACCUACGCUUAGGAUGUUGAGUCGUAGAGCACGCAG